Molecule: long non-coding RNA, 312 nt
Organism: Strigops habroptila (Kakapo)
Lineage: Eukaryota; Metazoa; Chordata; Aves; Psittaciformes; Psittacidae
Exons: 3
Source: RefSeq, a predicted model, not a curated record
AUUUGCUGCCGGGACAGCAAGUCAGUGUUUCUUUGCCUGUGUGAUCACAUAUAUAAGGCUUCAUGGAGCAGGUUUUGGUGCUAAAUUCGACUGAGGAAGAUGGAGAAGACUUAGAGUGGUCUCCAAGCUGCAGCCCACUACACAUCCUUUCAAAAUGAGAAGUUAAAGAAAGGGAAGGCAACCAGGCGUUGGAGAGUCACCCCUAAUUUGUGAAAACAUAUGGCUUAUUCCACCCUUCAACACUGAGGAUUCGUUCGAAGCAUGCUUGCCUGCAGUCCUGUGCUCACCAUCUGGAUCCACCUUCUGCAAGUC